GUGUAUAAAUCAGUGAUUUUAAUAGUUGACAUGUAUCUGCCAUAUAAUCAAUUGUGUAUCCUUUGAACAUGUAUCAUAGGCAUAUAGCAGCUUUAUAGGUUGUAUUGUUUUCACGCACAGUUUUAAUAAAAGCAGAUUUUCAAACAAAUUUCUAGACAAUGCAUGCUCUAUUGGACUUAUAAAGUACAAUAAUUACUAAUUUGUAUUCUUGAUGUGCUGACAGUUUUUUGACCCGCUUUUAUUUAUUUUAUUUCUGUAUAAAUCAGUCAUCUAAACCGAAAAACUGGACCGAAUGGCUUUUGUUGCGGCUUGUAGGCAGUGGGGGCAAUUUGGAAGCAGUUGGUUUGUAGGUAUAUUUCUGAACACGUGAAAUCGAAUGGAAAACAGUUGUUUCUGGUUGACACAUUAGCCCUAAUUGAAAUGAUUCAAGAAUUCAAUUUGUCCAAAUUCAAGAGCUCAAAGAGAAGGCCAGGCUCUCCAAUUGAAGGCUACAAGCUUAAAUUCCCAUAUAACUAUUCAAAAAACGUCAAUACUUAGACUACGACUUAUUGAGAUUUUUGAUGUAAAAUGGCUUCAAAUGCGCUAUGCAACUUCUUUGAUUGGGUGAGUUUUCAAGCUUCAGUUUUAUGAUUUUUUUGUUGUUAAUUUAUGACAUGCAUUUUUUUUUCUUAGGGGACCAUCCACGCUAGCUACUUUUGUAGCUGUAUAUGCACUUUUUGGGCCAACCUUUCCCGGAAUUUAUGACAAAGAAAGAAGUGUUUACACUAUUUUACCAGUGUGUACACAAAAUACAUAAUUUUGUCAUAAAUUUUGUUCUUUUCAAAAUAUAUCUUUGACUUUCAUGCUUGGGUUUCUUAUGUGUGUAUUUUGCAGGGCCUGUCCUUUGCUUUUUGAAUUCCUAGCCAGUAUACAGAUUGCUGCCAUGGUAGGGAGGGUAUUGUUUCAGUGUUUUCCAACUUUUUUUUUCAGUCAGUAUUUUCCAACUUAGAUAUCAUUUUUUAGAGAAUUUUGAAGUUCUGAUAACUUGAUUUCACUCCUUUCUGUCAUGGAAGUGGAAUUGCCAUUCGAGUUUCCGGAUGGUACCACACCAGUGACAUGUCAUGUCUCCAUAUAUGAUGGUUCUACGGAGAAGAAAGUUUGUGUAGGAUCCUUAAUGGACAAGGCUUCUGCUCCUUCCUUACCUGUUGGCAGCCUUUACAUGGAGGAAGUGCAUGUUAAGGAUGUCUGUCUGGACUGAAUUAGGUCGUCCUUGUGGAAUUCAUCAAAAUCAGCUUGAUCAUCGAACAAUGCCUUAUCCUGAGCAGUAGGCAAUGCGACCUGGACUUCUUUUUAUGCAACCAGGACUUCCCAUUGUUUGAGUUAUAGUCGUACAGGCAAUGUAAUCAUAACGUCUCGUGUCUUUGACCCUAAAUUAUAGAUGAACAGAUCAUGGCAUUUUGUAA
Juglans microcarpa x Juglans regia is the source of this 1442-nucleotide long non-coding RNA. RefSeq lists it as uncharacterized. The record is from RefSeq and is a predicted model, not a curated record. Lineage: Eukaryota; Viridiplantae; Streptophyta; Magnoliopsida; Fagales; Juglandaceae. The transcript is spliced from 5 exons.